ACGAACGCUGGCGGCGUGCUUAACACAUGCAAGGCGAACGGAAAGGCCCUGCUUGCAGGGUGCUCGAGUGGCGAACGGGUGAGUAACACGUGGGUGAUCUGCCCCUUACUUUGGGAUAAGCCUGGGAAACUGGGUCUAAUACUGGAUAGGACCAUGCUGUAGGUGGGGUGGUGGAAAGAUUAGUUUCGGUAAGGGAUGAGCUCGCGGCCUAUCAGCGUGUUGGUGGGGUAAUGGCCUACCAAGGCGUCGACGGGUAGCCGGCCUGAGAGGGUGGACGGCCACAUUGGGACUGUGAUACUGCCCAGACUCCUACGGUAGGCAGCAGUGGGGCAUAUUGCACUAUUGGCGCAUGCCUGAUGCAGCGACGCCGCGUUGGGGCUGACGGCCUUCGGGUUGUAAACUCCUUUCAGCCAUGUCGAAGCCCUUGUGGUGACGGUAGUGGUAGAAGAAGCACCGGCUAACUACGUG
RNAcentral lists this ribosomal RNA (468 nucleotides) under uncultured bacterium. Its description in RNAcentral is "partial 16S ribosomal RNA". It matches the Rfam family "Bacterial small subunit ribosomal RNA", at positions 29 to 507 of the family's 1533-position model. The record is from RNAcentral.